Long non-coding RNA from Daphnia carinata, 458 nucleotides. RefSeq lists it as uncharacterized. NCBI's taxonomy places the organism in Eukaryota, Metazoa, Arthropoda, Branchiopoda, Diplostraca, Daphniidae. The record is from RefSeq and is a predicted model, not a curated record. The transcript has 4 exons.
GACCAUCAUCGAGCUUCGUCGCCCAGCCUGGUCUAGUCAAGCCUUUUCUACCGACAACUUGUUCCACCAUGCGUUUCUUCGUUUCAAUGGUUCUUCUUGUGGCCCUUUGCGUGGCUUACUUCCCAGGAGCCUUUUCGACGCCCAUAGGAAAUGAAGAGAAAGCUGUAAUGUUCGAUCGUGACACGCUGGAGUCGUUGCAAGAAGAAAUCGAUAAAACGCCGUGUGACCCUAAAAAGUACAACUUGUGCAUUAGCGGACCGCACGGAUGCUUUAGAAAAAUACCUUUGCCCGACUGCGUCAAGAAAUGUUUAAAACAAUGUUGAAUUUAGCUGUGCCGAACAUCUGAACGCAACUCGUGACUAGCAAUUACGGACACCGACAUUGGUUCUUUCACCUUGAUUCUUUAAUUCUUUACCUAUCGUUUCGUGCAUAGAAUAAACUGCACUAAAAACAUCUAA